This 538-nucleotide long non-coding RNA is filed under the name Fukomys damarensis (Damara mole-rat). RNAcentral describes it as "lncRNA (ENSFDAG00000022034.1)". The record is from RNAcentral. Lineage: Eukaryota; Metazoa; Chordata; Mammalia; Rodentia; Bathyergidae.
GUCGGAUGGGAGAUUUCCCUUUGUGCAAGGGAGGCUGGUCUUUUGGUUCUGUUCUGGUGGUCUUCACUGAUUGGAUGAGACCCAUCCACAUUGUGAAAGGCAACCUGUUCUACUCAAAGUUCACUGGUUCAAGAGUUAAUCUCAUCCCAAUAUGCACCAAAUUAACACAAGAUUCAUCAUCUCCGUCAGCAAGGCUGGCAGCAGAGAGAAGAGCAAUGUGAGGGAGAACAAGGACCAGCGUCUCUGCCUUUGUCUCUUCUUGCGUCUCAUGAUGGUGAUCUUCAAAGAUCAGCGGCUGCCGCUCACUGCUGACUUCCAAAGCUUGUUCGAGUUUCACAGAAGAGAGUUCUGGGAGAGGCUAGCAGAUUCCUUGGUAAGACUGCUGUAAGACCUCCUUCUCUUUGUGCCAUCUUCAAACCAGCUCUCUGGUGGCGCAGCUGAACUUCUCCCGGAUGGUUGUCUCAGUUCCUACUUUUCAUCACCUGGAUGAAAACAAUACCUGGCAACUACAACUUGUGAUCCUCCUGAUUCAGCCUCC